Long non-coding RNA from Cajanus cajan (pigeon pea), 548 nucleotides. RefSeq lists it as uncharacterized. The record is from RefSeq and is a predicted model, not a curated record. Lineage: Eukaryota; Viridiplantae; Streptophyta; Magnoliopsida; Fabales; Fabaceae.
UUCUGACUAUUGAUGUUGCUUUUUGUUCACCUUGCACAAACUGAAAGUGAAAUCGAGGAUAAAGGUUUGAUUGAUGCUCUUCGACUUCAAGAAAAAGCAACAAUUUCCAAUAUCACAGCAUAAGCACUAUAUUGUGAAAAAUGGAGCACCACUUCUGUAAUUGUUUAAAUGAGUUACCCACAAAUCCUGCUGCACUACUGGAGCAAACUACUUUCUGCACAAUCGAAGGUCACUUUUAAACCAUUUAUGUGGAAAAGAAGUGACCACACUUGUGUGUGAUGAAAAUUCUGAGGAAAGGUUCUUUGAAUGUCAUUUUGGGAAAGAGAUAUAUGUCACCGAACAAUAGUGUCACUUGUUGGAUGUUUUUCUGUCUGUGACUAUCAUGUUAUAUGCUUGCAGUCUACGGUACAUACAUCUUCAAGCAUAAUAUUUAUUAUUUAGAUCGGAGUGUUUUAUGCCUUAUUCUAACAAAACUAUUUGAAGGUUGUGAAUUAUCUGAUUGAUCCUUUUGUUGGAAAUACUAGUGCAGCGGAUCCCGAAUCUCUUUC